Molecule: microRNA, 22 nt
Filed under: Monodelphis domestica (gray short-tailed opossum)
Lineage: Eukaryota; Metazoa; Chordata; Mammalia; Didelphimorphia; Didelphidae
Description: mdo-miR-12337-5p
Source: miRBase by way of RNAcentral
AGUUGUGAAUGACUUAGCUACU